CGGACGGGUGAGUAAUGUCUGGGAAACUGCCUGAUGGAGGGGGAUAACUACUGGAAACGGUAGCUAAUACCGCAUAACGUCGCAAGACCAAAGAGGGGGACCCUCGGGCCUCUUGCCAUCGGAUGUGCCCAGAUGGGAUUAGCUAGUAGGUGGGGUAAAGGCUCACCUAGGCGACGAUCCCUAGCUGGUCUGAGAGGAUGACCAGCCACACUGGAACUGAGACACGGUCCAG
RNAcentral lists this ribosomal RNA (232 nucleotides) under uncultured bacterium. RNAcentral's name for it is "partial 16S ribosomal RNA". It matches the Rfam family "Bacterial small subunit ribosomal RNA", at positions 99 to 334 of the family's 1533-position model. The record is from RNAcentral.